AAGGAAACCACAUUGAGCGGCGUCUCGCCCGGCUGCAUUUGACCAGAUUGACCUCCAAAGGAUACCUUCAGCUGUCGAUUUCCAUUUCCUGGAUCACCAGACGGGACCAUGCUCACUUUCAUACCCUGUGAAAAUAAGUCUUGCCCAAAAUGUCUUCCCAGCUCAGCGGAAUAUAUUUCACUCCAGGAUUCCCUUCCAUACCGGCCUCUUGGCGACUCCCCUGGGUUGGCUGGUUUCCGGCGGAGGCGAGUUGUGCGGCAGAAAUAUUGACGUUGAUGGGGGCGGGUCCAGGUCCAACGUUUUCACAGAAUGCAUUUGGAGCGGCACGACCUCGCGGUGGGGCACAAGUUGCAUUGUUCCGACUGAGCAUCUGCAUUUGCAUCUGGGUCGACGGGGUGGCCGCCGGUCCACCGAAUCCUUGACGGGGUCGACAACAGUUGGCGGUUCGCCCGACUUGUUGACGUUGGCGAGACGCCAUGGUCGGUUGGCUGUAGCCCGUCCCUCCGUAUGUGCCCUGUUGUUGUUGUUGUGAGUAUCCCAUCAUGUUUGGCUAGAGAAGAGAAGGGUAAAGUCGAAUAAGUUCUGAUCUGAUAAGUUCUUAUACUUACCAGAGAAGCGUAGGAAUCAAAGCCACGCUGAGUCCCUCUUGGGUAAAUUCCAGUGCAAGAGUUUGAGGGGUUCGCCAUCGUUCGUCCGGAUCGGUUGUAAUUGUUCAUUGUUGAGUUUGAUGAAGGUGUGUGGUGUUGCGAGUAGAUGCAAAAAUGGGUGAAAAGUUUUAUUACGACGUGUGACGACAAAACAAAAUUAGGAGACGAAUUACAAAUUCGGGCGAAAAGUGGGACUGGUGAAAAAAUUCGUCAUUAUAAAAAUAUCAUUCAAAUGAUGAGAUGAAGGUUGUUGAAGCAACGGAAUCCUUAUGAAAAUAAAAUGCAAAUGAUUUUAUAAGGUUAGUAGUGUCCAAUGAAUAUCUUUAAUAAAUGUUCAGCUCGCCGGAUAUAACAAACAACAAUAACAUAUUAGAAAAUUUGAAAACCCAACAAAUGCGAAAAUUAGUAUCAAAGUAGUGGCAGGCGUAUAUUUUUUGGAAUUAAUUU
This is a long non-coding RNA of Folsomia candida, 1094 nucleotides long. RefSeq lists it as uncharacterized. The transcript is spliced from 2 exons. NCBI's taxonomy places the organism in Eukaryota, Metazoa, Arthropoda, Collembola, Entomobryomorpha, Isotomidae. The record is from RefSeq and is a predicted model, not a curated record.